GAUGAACGCUGGCGGCGUGCCCAAUACAUGCAAGUCGAGCGAACGGACGAGAAGCUUGCUUCUCUGAUGUUAGCGGCGGACGGGUGAGUAACACGUGGAUAACCUACCUAUAAGACUGGGAUAACUUCGGGAAACCGGAGCUAAUACCGGAUAAUAUUUUGAACCGCAUGGUUCAAAAGUGAAAGACGUCUUGCUGGCACUUAUAGAUGGAUCCGCGCUGCAUUAGCUAGUUGGUAAGGUAACGGCUUACCAAGGCAACGAUGCAUAGCCGACCUGAGAGGGUGAUCGGCCACACUGGAACUGAGACACGGUCCAGACUCCUACGGGAGGCAGCAGUAGGGAAUCUUCCGCAAUGGGCGAAAGCCUGACGGAGCAACGCCGCGUGAGUGAUGAAGGUCUUCGGAUCGUAAAACUCUGUUAUUAGGGAAGAACAUAUGUGUAAGUAACUGUGCACAUCUUGACGGUACCUAAUCAGAAAGCCACGGCUAACUACGUG
Molecule: ribosomal RNA, 496 nt
Filed under: uncultured bacterium
Lineage: Bacteria
Description: partial 16S ribosomal RNA
Rfam family: Bacterial small subunit ribosomal RNA
Source: RNAcentral